AUGCAGCCGGUGAGCUUGUUGUUGAGGAAGAGCAGCUCCCUUACACCGGCCCCUGUGUAGCCGAAACUAGCCGGGAUGGAGCCCGUGAGCCUGUUGUUGGCCAGGCUGAUGACGGAGGCCGGCGAGCUCCACAGGCUCAUGGGGAUCUGUCCCUCGAAGUGGUUGUUGUUGAGGAAGAUGGCGUCGAGGUCCAUCGAGAAGAGCUCGUCGGGAACCUCCCCCGAGAAACUGUUGAAUCGGAGGUCGAGGUAGACCAAGCUAGGCAUGUACAGAAUAGGAGUUGGGAAAGGCCCCGAGAAGUGGUUGUUGCUGAGAUCGAUCUCUGUGAGGGACUCGAGACCCCUGAACGCGUCAGGGACCGUCCCAGAGAACCUGUUGCUGUUAAGGUGAAGGAUGGAGAGAUCGGUUAAAAGGGCGAGCUCCUUCACCAGGGUGCCCUGGAGGUUUGCCUUGUUCAGAUCUAUGGCUGAGACGACGCGCCCCGGCGAGGAGGGGGAGAACGGCAGGCCCUCCGCCGGCGGAGUGGAGCAGAAGACACCCCUGUAGGAGCAGACAUUGGGGCCGACCCAGUUGGCGAGGACCCCCGAAGGGUCCCCAGUGAUGGCGGACUUGAAAGCCUGCAGCGCCGCGUACUCCCCGCUGGAUGAAGGCUCCGACGAACCCCCCGGCGGCGGGUUCUGGGUAGAGACACCCACCCCUCCGUUCACCCAGACACCGAGGCCGCCCCCAUUGCCGAACCCAAGGAAGGCCGACGCCUGGGGAGAGGCCUCCCCGCAGAGGAGGAAGAAGAGGAGAAGAGGCAAGCAGCAACCGGUGGGCAU
RNAcentral lists this long non-coding RNA (821 nucleotides) under Spirodela polyrhiza (greater duckweed). RNAcentral's name for it is "long non-coding RNA (SPOL_LNC001440)". The record is from RNAcentral. Lineage: Eukaryota; Viridiplantae; Streptophyta; Magnoliopsida; Alismatales; Araceae.